RNAcentral lists this ribosomal RNA (498 nucleotides) under uncultured bacterium. Its description in RNAcentral is "partial 16S ribosomal RNA". It matches the Rfam family "Bacterial small subunit ribosomal RNA", at positions 30 to 523 of the family's 1533-position model. The record is from RNAcentral.
AUUGAACGCUGGCGGCAUGCUUUACACAUGCAAGUCGAACGGUAACAGGCCGCAAGGUGCUGACGAGUGGCGAACGGGUGAGUAAUGCAUCGGAACGUGCCCAGUCGUGGGGGAUAACGCAGCGAAAGCUGUGCUAAUACCGCAUACGAUCUGUGGAUGAAAGCGGGGGACCUUCGGGCCUCGCGCGAUUGGAGUGGACGAUGUCAGAUUAGGUAGUUGGUGGGGUAAAGGCUCACCAAGCCAACGAUCUGUAGCUGGUCUGAGAGGACGACCAGCCAAACUGGGACUGAGACACGGCCCAGACUCCUACGGGAGGCAGCAGUGGGGAAGUUUGGACAAUGGGCGCAAGCCUGAUCCAGCAAUGCCGCGUGCAGGAAGAAGGCCUUCGGGUUGUAAACUGCUUUUGUACGGAGCGAAAAGGCUCUCUCUAAUACAGGGGGCUCAUGACGGUACCGUAAGAAUAAGCACCGGCUAACUACGUGCCAGCCGCCGCGGUAA